ACAAACUGGGGCUAUGUGAGGGUUUCAUGAAAAUACCAUGUACAUGUUAUUUAAAACACUGGAUCCUUAUCGGUCCCACGACUAUUAUGUGUUUAUUUAAUUGUGCUAGUACAACCCUGAAGCCCCACAGAGUGUUGACAUUUCAAUUACUGAAAAACUAUUUUUUCUUCUACAGUAUUAUGGCAACGGAGGUAAAACAAGGUACGUUUAAAGGGGCACUCCACCAAUUUUACACAUUACAGCCGGUUUAUUAGUGAAGUCUCAGUCAGGUUUGAAUAAAACAACCGCAGUGAUGUAACUGUGAUGUCAAUUGUGUUCAUAACUGAGUGCCUGGAUUACAAACUGGGCGACAUCAGGCUCGUCCCAGAUGAACUGCGCCUCGCCUGAAAAAGAGGGAAGGCGGCAGCAGCGGGGGGGUGUUAAAAGUCAGCAAUCUAGUUGGACAGUUUCCAGCAGCCGUCAGUCUGAGUAUGAUGUCGGGAUCAAGUAGGACAUGUCUGCUGACAAUCAACAAGAAGGGAUGUUCAAACGAAACAGAGAGUUUCAAUAUGGGACCGAGUGUUUUUGGAGUUUAGAAAUCGCACCUCACCAACAAGUCGCUAUAUGGCUCUCAUCCACGCUUGUCAACCAUCAUUAGGCAACGUAGAGUAGCCGAAUGAAGCAGCUGGUUGUGUACUGUUAUGGAAACCUGACACUAUCAGAAGGGUUUGCACCACAUUAAGGAAGGUUCUAGAAGACAUUGGUCUGUAAAGCAAAGAAUUUUUGACUGCAAUGCUGGACAGAGGGAGCUGGAUGAAAAACUUUAUUCAUGUCUCCGAUUCUGUCAGCAAAACAGUCAAUGAUUGGUCUGCUAUUUAAUCCGAAUUGGAAUGUUUAGCUCAAUUAUUAGCUGGUAUCCCAUUUUCAAAAGAGCAAUUACAGCUGGUCUGACUUUAACAUUUCUUACAUGUACUUUAUCUCCUGAUCUAAUCACACUUAUUGUCAUCACUGAAAUCAUAUAAAAAUCCUUAUUAUCAUAACUCUUAGGGAUACUAGGCUGUCCUGCAUCACUGUAAGAUACUGUAUCCACAAUUCAAACAUUGAUUAACAUGCUUUAUCUAUUGCUGAAAUUUCAUCUUUGUAAAAACCCCACUGGAUUGUAAAUAAUUUGCUUUAUUUGUAGCUCUAGCGAAACAGUUGAAAUAGAAGACAAGCAGGAAUACUGCUUAUUUUCAGGGUCAUAAAUAAUGAUAUAUGAUUCUGGACAUGCACAUAAACAGUCUAAACAAGUCACGACCUUGAAGGGAAUAUGAUACUAAGAGUAUAAAAAUGCAGCCUAAAACACAAGGCAGGACUGGAGACCCAUAAAAUCUCUCGUGGAUGACAACAACUUAUUCUGAAGUCUACUGUCAUACAUCCAGUAAAAGUUGGCUGAACACAUUCAAAAAAAUAACAGUCGGGGAGAGAAAUGAGUAAAAUAACUGAGCAGUAUGUUCCAUGGCCGUGCAGCCAAGUCACCCAUCCGUGGUCAGGAAUGUGACGGAAAGUUUGUCUGAGGAACAGCCGUUCUGGUUCAGCACAUCUGGGAAGCUCCACACACACGCCUCCUCUUGUGAUAAUUUGUCAGAUAUUGAAUUGGAUCAUGUUUAUGUGGCUCAAUCAAUCAGUCUUGAUCAUAAAAGUGUCAAAGAGGCACGAGCCAUUCUUCCAUUGCCUCAGAUGAGUCUUCAAAAGUUGAUAUACCGCCUCGUGUCAUAUGCAGAAGAACCACCUUGGUGCAGUGUGUGUUGAGUUAACAAUUAAUAUCCCUCGGCUUUGUUUGCGGUUUGGGAUAUUGAUUCAGUUGGAAGAGACAAAAGAGAAACAGAAAAACACACAACCAAACCUCUCCCUUGGGCGACAAUCAUUCGACCAGGAUUUAAAAUGUCUUCCCUGGAACUAUCUUGCAUGCUUUGCUCAAAUCUACUGAGAAAGCCAACUAAGUUUGACCUUUGACCUUUCUAGACUAAAAAGUAGACCAUUAAAAUUAGUCCAUCAAGGAUUUUUUGUCUGAUCUGGUGCUCAGACUCCAGUUAAACUUAAACUAUGGGGAUUUAGCAAACAAAUAUACGUGGCCUUGCGUGGCAGACUACAGACUUUAACACACAGCAGUGAAUUUCAUUCAGGUUUCACAGCCCACUAACUGCAGAAUAAACACACACUGACAUAUGCUGGCAAAUGUACUUCUAUUUCCAGUGUGUGUGUGCAUGCAAAUCUGCCGAGAAGUACUGCAUGUCUUAAUGAGCAUGUAUCCGGCCUCAUGUGCUGUAUAGGCACAAUGGGCUGGUUACUGACUGCUGAACAAAUCAUUUUCAGAUCCCAUAUGUCUCCUGUGGAUUUAUGAUCAUGUAUACAUAAAGACUAGAAAUGACUGUUGAGGAUAAAUCAUUAUGGACUAACAUUAUGUUGUGUAGAUGUUUUUGUGGUUUGAUGAGUUCUAUGAAGUGCACUUUGCCACCAGUACAACUGUCAGGUCUGCUCCAGCAGGCUCUGGCUAGGGCUCCUCCCUCCUUCUGUGUCUCUUCCUUUUUAGGUAUUCAGAGUGUUGUGGCAGCAGCCGCAGGUGAACAAUCAGGGGGAUCAGCUGAAGCAGGAACAGGUGUGUUGGAGCCAAUCAGUCAUCCACCUCCUCUCCUCAUAUAUAGAUGCCAGUCACCACUUGGACGCCGGAUUGUGAAUGCACACAUUGGAACCUCACCCACUCCUGUGGCCGAACCAUCUGCCCCUCCCCGGACUCACCAACAACAACAGUUUUCAAGAGGACACCGGAAUUCCCUCCACCCACCGUCCAUCUUCAGUCUGGAUUUCAUUCUGCCGUCGCUGCCUCUGCCUUCAACUCCAGUCCUCAGCCCGUUACCCCCCUCCCUAGUCAGCAGUCCGUCCCCAGCAUGAGCCAGGUUGAGGUAUUAGUGUUGUUUAGUUAACGUUACCUGAGACCCUGUCAUUUUUAGUGAGCUUAGUUGCUCUUUAGCUUUGAGUCUGCGUAGUUUUUCUAGUGAGCUUAGUUGCUCUUCAGCUUUGAGUCUGUGUAGUUUUUCUAAUGAGCUUAGUUAUUUUCCCCAGUUCCUGUUUCCGGGAUCCGGCUUCUGGGAGUUGUAGUCUUUUGGUUUUUGCUCUUUGUCAAUAAAAGUAUUCUUGUUUGCA
Molecule: long non-coding RNA, 3162 nt
Organism: Amphiprion ocellaris (clown anemonefish)
Lineage: Eukaryota; Metazoa; Chordata; Actinopteri; Pomacentridae
Exons: 2
Source: RefSeq, a predicted model, not a curated record